GUGGUGCUCCUGGUUUACUGGUGAUAAAUGACAAUUAAGGUAGCCAUUCUGAACACAUCUACAUAUUAACCAGGAUUAAUAGGAGUCGUUGCUUCUUUCAUUACAAACUAAUUUUAGUCCAAUGUCAUUUAUCAUAUUGAUGAUAAAAGUGUGGCACCAUAUCGAUGGCUUCCUUGAGUGGUCCAUUAUAUUUAAAUUGAUAUCAUUGUUUUUUUGUCGUAUAAUUUUUCUGUUAAAUACAUAUAAUGCGCGAACUAUUAGAGUUUCAGUAUACUCACAUUUGGACUUCAAUACGUACUGUCUUUCAUCAUUCUUUUGCUACCAUUGUCCUAGUUAAAAAUUUCUUUUGCUACCAUUAUCUUUGCAUCUUGCCCAAGCAUUGAGCAUAUAUUCAUAUAAGUCCAAAUGUGACAGGGUGAUUCUAGUUGAAGAGGUACAAAAAGCUAUUGAAGACUGCGGAAUGUUGGCAUUUGUGUAAUGGUUAUAAGGAGAGAUAACUAGCAUACAGCAGAAGCAAUUUGCCAUGAAAUACUUGUAUAUGGACCUCAUCAAGAUAUCCGUUCGACAGGAAGAGAAUCUAUUGAUGUUCGGGAUCAGAAAAACCAUUUGAGGCAAAGUGGAGGGUCUCUAUUUUCUGAGGCUGAACUAUAACAAAAUUCGUGUAGCAUAUGCAGUGGGAUGAAAGUACUCAAUGAUCUAACUGUUGAAAAUGAAAAAAUGGCUUCUUGGUGUUGCUACUUCUUCAGAGUGAAACCAUAUUCGUUAGCCCAACACUGAUGAUAGAAUCCCAGUGAAACCAUUUUUUUUUCAAACAACCUGUUUGUGUUUUUUGACAUCUUAUUGGUAAAAUGUAAUGUUUAUGUAGAAUUCCUAAAGGAUAUUCUUGUCGAUUGAUCAAAGGUUCUUGGCAUGCUCAUUUUUAUAUGGACUUAGUUAUCUUCAGAUGUGAAUUUUAGUUUAUAGUAAUUACUAUCACUCGAGGCAAGGAAGAGACUGAGUAAUGCUCCUUUUUAGUAAUGCAGUUUAUAGUAAUGCAAUUAGUAUACUACUUGAAAUGCCUUGUCUUUUGAGAUACAAGACAUACUUAAACAAUGUAACAAGACUAUCUUUGUGGUCAAAUUGCUUGCGGUAAAAGACUUGUAGAGUUGAAAAAUCCUAUUCAAAAUUUUCCUAAAUCCCUCCUAUAGAACUUGUAAGUUGUGUCUGAAUACUAAAAAAGCUUUGUUGAAUUGUUGGUUGGUAAACCGCCUUCG
RNAcentral lists this long non-coding RNA (1253 nucleotides) under Aquilegia coerulea. RNAcentral's name for it is "long non-coding RNA (ACOE_LNC001127)". The record is from RNAcentral. Lineage: Eukaryota; Viridiplantae; Streptophyta; Magnoliopsida; Ranunculales; Ranunculaceae.